UCCCUAGUGGCUCAGCUGGUAAAGAAUUUGCCUGCAAUGCAGGAGACCUGGGUUCAAUCCCUGGGUUGGGAA
Molecule: transfer RNA, 72 nt
Filed under: Ovis aries (sheep)
Lineage: Eukaryota; Metazoa; Chordata; Mammalia; Artiodactyla; Bovidae
Rfam family: tRNA
About the family: Transfer RNA (tRNA) molecules are approximately 80 nucleotides in length. Their secondary structure includes four short double-helical elements and three loops (D, anti-codon, and T loops).
Source: Rfam by way of RNAcentral